RNAcentral lists this ribosomal RNA (550 nucleotides) under uncultured Gammaproteobacteria bacterium. Its description in RNAcentral is "bacterial SSU rRNA". It matches the Rfam family "Bacterial small subunit ribosomal RNA", at positions 329 to 906 of the family's 1533-position model. Lineage: Bacteria; Pseudomonadati; Pseudomonadota; Gammaproteobacteria. The record is from RNAcentral.
CCCCGCCCGCCUACGGGAGGCAGCAGUGGGGAAUUUUCCGCAAUGGGCGCAAGCCUGACGGAGCAACGCCGCGUGUGGGAAGAAGGCUCUUGGGCUGUCAACCACUUUUCUCAGGGAAGAAUUACUGACGGUACCUGAGGAAUCAGCCUCGGCUAACUCCGUGCCAGCAGCCGCGGUAAUACGGAGGAGGCAAGCGUUAUCCGGAAUUAUUGGGCGUAAAGCGUCCGCAGGGGGCGCAUCAAGUCUGCUGUCAAAGGUCGGAGCUUAACUCCGGUGUGGCAGUGGAAACGGGUGCGCUAGAGGGCGACAGGGGUAGAGGGAAUUCCCAGUGUAGCGGUGAAAUGCGUAGAGAUUGGGAAGAACACCGGUGGCGAAAGCGCUCUACUGGGUCGCACCUGACCCUCAGGGACGAAAGCUAAGGUAGCGAAAGGGAUUAGAUACCCCUGUAGUCUUAGCCGUAAACGAUGGAUACUAGGCGUGGUUUGUAUCGACCCAAGCCGUGCCGAAGCUAACGCGUUAAGUUCCCGCCUGGGGAUACGCCAACCCCAGG